This 380-nucleotide ribosomal RNA is filed under the name uncultured eukaryote. Its description in RNAcentral is "SSU rRNA". It matches the Rfam family "Eukaryotic small subunit ribosomal RNA", at positions 587 to 972 of the family's 1831-position model. The record is from RNAcentral.
AGCUCCAAUAGCGUAUAUUAAAGUUGUUGCGGUUAAAAAGCUCGUAGUUGAAUUUCUGCUGAGCCAACCGGUCCGCCCUCUGGGUGAGCAUCUGGCUUUGUCUUAGCAUGUAUUUGGAGAACACAACUGCACUUGAUUGUGUGGUAUGCUAUCCAAGUGUUUUACUUUGAGGAAAUCAGAGUGUUUCCAGCAGGCAUAUGCCUUGUAUAUAUUAGCAUGGAAUAAUGAAGUAAGGCUUUGGUUUUAUUUUGUUGGUUUAUAGAAUUGUUGCAAUGAAUAAUAAGGACAGUUGAGGGCAUUUGUAUUUAAUUGUCAGAGGUGAAAUUCUUGGAUUUGUUAAAGACAAACUAUUGCGAAAGCAUUUGCCACGGAUGUUUUCA